RNAcentral lists this ribosomal RNA (425 nucleotides) under Hyaloscypha hepaticicola. RNAcentral describes it as "partial 28S ribosomal RNA". It matches the Rfam family "Eukaryotic large subunit ribosomal RNA", at positions 139 to 567 of the family's 3401-position model. The record is from RNAcentral. Lineage: Eukaryota; Fungi; Ascomycota; Leotiomycetes; Helotiales; Hyaloscyphaceae.
CGAGUUGUAAUUUGUAGAAGAUGCUUUGGGUGUAGCUCCGGUCUAAGUUCCUUGGAACAGGACGUCAUAGAGGGUGAGAAUCCCGUAUGUGACUGGGUGCUUUCGCUCGUGUAAAGCUCUUUCGACGAGUCGAGUUGUUUGGGAAUGCAGCUCAAAAUGGGUGGUAAAUUUCAUCUAAAGCUAAAUAUUGGCCAGAGACCGAUAGCGCACAAGUAGAGUGAUCGAAAGAUGAAAAGCACUUUGGAAAGAGAGUUAAACAGUACGUGAAAUUGUUGAAAGGGAAGCGCUUGCAACCAGACUUGCGCGCUGUUGAUCAUCCGAGCUUCUGCCCGGUGCACUCGACAGCGUUCAGGCCAGCAUCGGUUUUGGUGGGCGGAUAAAGGCCUUGGGAAUGUAGCUUCUUUCGGGAAGUGUUAUAGCCCUCG